ACAGGCACACACUUGGCACAUCCCCCUUUUGAUUGCCUAAGCCUGGAAAGUAUCAUUUGAACCAGGCCACAGUUGAUUUCUUUUUACAGUAACGCAGAGAAGCCUGGGGAGCUGCCCAUCAUCCAGCUCCUGAUCUUCCAGCUGAGGUGACCCGACCCCUCUCUUUCCCAGAUUCCACUGAAGCUGCCCAGUUUGUUGAAAUACAAAAUCCUCAAAAACAAGGGAUAUGCAGUGGAAGGAGCAGUCACUGAGUCUGACUGUUAACAGUCAGAAGUAGAUCACAAAACACACUUAAGUGGAACACAGAACUAGACAUGUUUGUUGUCCAACCAUCAGAAAAAGCAGGCAGGAAAGAAGCUGCAAUGGACUUGAAAAAGGCUCCUUUAGAAAGCAUCUUCCAAAGUGAGAUGAUUGGUAAGUAUAAUGCCUACAGGGGAAAGCAGCUUUAAAAAACAACAACUCUUAUUGCUAGAAAACAUAUUGCACUUUAAAAUGUUUGUCUUCUCCUCUGCUUGUCUAGCAUAAACAACAUUAAAAGUGACUCAUUUCAGUCUAAAAGGCA
Long non-coding RNA from Hemicordylus capensis (graceful crag lizard), 562 nucleotides. RefSeq lists it as uncharacterized. The transcript has 2 exons. Lineage: Eukaryota; Metazoa; Chordata; Lepidosauria; Squamata; Cordylidae. The record is from RefSeq and is a predicted model, not a curated record.